AUAGCGUAUAUUAAAGUUGUUGCAGUUAAAAAGCUCGUAGUUGAAUUUCGGGACUAAUAUGUCGGUCGUGCCUCGGUACGUACUGGUUUAUUGGUUUCUCCUUUCUGAAGAACCAUGAUGUCAUUUAUUUGGUGUCGUGGGGAAUCAGGACUGUUACUUUGAAAAAAUUAGAGUGUUUAAAGCAGGCUCACGCUUGAAUACAUUAGCAUGGAAUAAUGAAAUAGGACGUUUGAUUCUAUUUUGUUGGUUUCUAGGAUCGACGUAAUGAUUAAUAGGGAUAGUUGGGGGCAUUAGUAUUCAAUUGUCAGAGGUGAAAUUCUUGGAUUUACUGAAGACUAACUACUG
This 345-nucleotide ribosomal RNA is filed under the name uncultured eukaryote. Its description in RNAcentral is "SSU rRNA". It matches the Rfam family "Eukaryotic small subunit ribosomal RNA", at positions 594 to 945 of the family's 1831-position model. The record is from RNAcentral.